RNAcentral lists this ribosomal RNA (247 nucleotides) under uncultured bacterium. Its description in RNAcentral is "partial 16S ribosomal RNA". It matches the Rfam family "Bacterial small subunit ribosomal RNA", at positions 86 to 334 of the family's 1533-position model. The record is from RNAcentral.
AGAUGGCGACCGGCGCACGGGUGAGUAGCACGUAUCCAACCUGCCGAUAACUCCGGAAUAGCCUUUCGAAAGAAAGAUUAAUACCGGAUGGCAUACGAAUAUCGCAUGAUAUUUUUAUUAAAGAAUUUCGGUUAUCGAUGGGGAUGCGUUCCAUUAGUUUGUUGGCGGGGUAACGGCCCACCAAGACUACGAUGGAUAGGGGUUCUGAGAGGAAGGUCCCCCACAUUGGAACUGAGACACGGUCCAA